Molecule: non-coding RNA, 115 nt
Organism: Edhazardia aedis USNM 41457
Lineage: Eukaryota; Fungi; Microsporidia; Culicosporidae
Source: the annotation of a GenBank genome assembly
AUAGCCAUAUUCAGAAAAAAGCACCGGAAACCGUCAAAUCCCAGAAUUUAAGCCUCUGCAAGCUAUGUGAGUAGUUAUGCGAGAGAUUUUUUAGGAAAGCUUGGUGCCGUAAUUU